UCCCUUAAUCUGCGGAGGAAAAACAGCUACUGGCAAAUUAAAGAGACUUGGAACAGAGCCAUGAGAACUAAAUGGCUAAAAAUGAAAACAGGCAAACAUUUGAAGAGUAUUCUACAGAACACAGAUCUUCCAACACCUCCCCCUUUUCCACAGUUAAUUCAUUGUCAUGGAAACUGAAUUUAUCAAAAUGUUCUCGUUCACUCCUAGUGACCCAGUGAGUCGACUUACAGAGCUGGUGAAAGCAUUUUCCUUUGCUGAUCUCUAGCCCAAGGAUACAAAAAUCCUUCAGCUCUUCAUCACAAUCAUCUCUCCUUAUCUCUUGUUAAAGAAAGCUAAUGCUCUGCAAAUGUCUGUGUGGAUGCAUCCCUUCCAUCUGCAUGUGGUUUUGGAAAAAACACAGGCCGUCUCAACAACCACCUUGAAGAACCUGCACAAGGUAAAUAACCUUCUCUUCCUCACUCAAGUUGGGGAAGACAGUCCCCUAUACCAAUCCCCAAAUUCUAUUAAAUUUUGAUUACAUUUGAGACAUUAAUAACUCAAAGCAGUUAUUAGGUAUCAGGAUUUUGCAUUGUGGGCAUGGGCCAAUUUAAUAUUAUCUUUGUCAGUGGGGAGAUUUUCAAAGGCCCAAAUGGCAGUUAGGAACCCAACUUCCACUAAAAGACAAUAGAAUUAGAUGCUUCAACUGCCCUUUGUGUCUUUGAAAAUCUCCCCCUAAAUUUGUAAGUAUGGUCACAAUAGUCCCUUCUGGGUUUAUAAUUUAUGAAUCUGAAACCUUCCCACCAUGGGAGUUAAACUCAUUUUAGGCUCAUAGAUUGGUUAUGCUGAGAUCCACUUCAUUUACUUACUGAUGGGAUUUAUUUUCCUUGUUUCAUGCUGAAAGAAAAGUUAAAACAUGCUGUGCUAGUUCAUGAGUAACUGUUGUUGGUUUGACUUGUUUGGUUUUUUGGGGUUUGCUUUUUGUGUAUAUUAGUUAUGACAAGUCACAUAGUUUGAGAAGUCAAGUUGUUGUAAUAUUAUUUUAAAAGAGAAAGCUCUGUCAGAUUUUUUUCCUGUAGAGUGUCACAUCCAUGUGGAAC
Mauremys mutica (yellowpond turtle) is the source of this 1076-nucleotide long non-coding RNA. RefSeq lists it as uncharacterized. The record is from RefSeq and is a predicted model, not a curated record. The transcript is spliced from 4 exons. Lineage: Eukaryota; Metazoa; Chordata; Testudines; Geoemydidae.